UGCAUUCACAUUAGCAGCACUUUGCUGUACUUGGGGGGAUGGGAUCAGGCAGUGAGAGCCUUGUGAGGGGGAAGUUUUCUUGAGGUGGAAUUGUCAAAGCAAGGUCUCACAGGGUAGAAUAGUGAGGGGGGAGGUAAGGGAGGUCCCCAUAUCUCAGGGAGCUCUGGGCAAGCAGAGAGGGAUUCUGCCCCCAACCCUGACUGAAGCCCCCAAUGGAGGAGGAGCUGAGCUGGGUUUUCUGGGGUCUUGGGGGUCUCUUGCAACUCCCACAGUAACACAGGGGGGUCAUCCCAUAUCACCCAGCAGAGAGGGGCUUCUGCCCUACUGAAAGGGCUAAUCUCCCCCAUGGGGGGAAUCUCCUGUAACGGACACCAGUGAUAUCCCAUAAGAGACCCCAGCCCCACCUCCAUACCCCAUGUUGGGAUUGAACCCCAGAACGGGGUCCUACACCCCACAAUUCCCCCCUGUGAAGUUUGCCAUCCCAUAAUACCCCCAGUCCCAUAUGCUCGGUGCCCCGGGGGUGGGGGGGUUAGCCCUCCUCCCACAACAGGGUUCUGGAAACCAAGGUUCCUGCACCCCAAAUUUCCACCUUAAAAGCUUUGAAGGGGACACUCCAUGAAACCCCCUGCCCUGCCUUUGCGGAGGGGCUGAGUUGCAGGGAGCACCCCCUGGGGGUCACCAGUGGGAUGUGAACCCAGGACCCUAAUCAGCGACAUAGCACUGAGCCCUCUGCAUCUGAACCGGCAUCCUGGCUCCCAGCCCCCCUGCUCUAACCACCAGCUCCCACUCCCCUCCCAGAGCCAGGAGUGAACCCAGGCAUCCGGGCUCCCAGCCCCUGUACCAGCCAGCAGAUGUUGGCCAGGCGGAUUUAUCCAGCAGCUGCCCUGUUCGGGAUGGCGAUAGGUCGCGGGGGUGAGGAUAAUCCCCUGGUGUGGGAGCGACUAUAAACCCCCCACCCAGCCUGGCACGGCUGCCUCCUCCUCCAGCCACAGCUCCGGCUCCGGGGCAGCAGCUGGCACCAUGCAGAACACCCUGGGGCCUGCCUGCAUCUUCCUGCGCAAGGGCAUCGCCGAGAAGCAUGGGCACCUGUCAGCUUGGAAGCCGAUGAAAUCGAAGAGCUACGCGAGCCUCGCAGAGUUCGACAG
Non-coding RNA from Chelonoidis abingdonii (Abingdon island giant tortoise), 1145 nucleotides. The record is from RefSeq and is a predicted model, not a curated record. Lineage: Eukaryota; Metazoa; Chordata; Testudines; Testudinidae.